Molecule: ribosomal RNA, 468 nt
Filed under: uncultured bacterium
Lineage: Bacteria
Description: partial 16S ribosomal RNA
Rfam family: Bacterial small subunit ribosomal RNA
Source: RNAcentral
GACGAACGCUGGCGGCGUGCUUAACACAUGCAAGUCGAACGGAAAGGCCCUGCUUUUGUGGGGUGCUCGAGUGGCGAACGGGUGAGUAACCCGUGGGUAACCUGCCCUUGACUUUGGGUUAACUUCAGGAAACUGGGGCUAAUACCGGAUAGGGGCUCCUGCUGCAUGGUGGGGGUUGGAAAGUUUCGGCGGUUGGGGAUGGACUCGCGGCUUAUCAGCUUGUUGGUGGGGUAGUGGCUUACCAAGGCUUUGACGGGUAGCCGGCCUGAGAGGGUGACCGGCCACAUUGGGACUGAGAUACGGCCCAGACUCCUACGGGAGGCAGCAGUGGGGAAUAUUGCACAAUGGGCGGAAGCCUGAUGCAGCAACGCCGCGUGCGGGAUGACGGCCUUCGGGUUGUAAACCGCUUUCGCCUGUGACGAAGCGUGAGUGACGGUAAUGGGUAAAGAAGCACCGGCUAACUACGUG